Molecule: long non-coding RNA, 3182 nt
Filed under: Triticum aestivum (bread wheat)
Lineage: Eukaryota; Viridiplantae; Streptophyta; Magnoliopsida; Poales; Poaceae
Description: long non-coding RNA (TAES_LNC021659)
Source: RNAcentral
AUGCAUGAACAUUGAUGGAAGCUACACUUCAUAAUGAAAUCUCAAUGUGAAUUCCAUAACAGAACCCAGACAACAUAAACAGUAACAAAGGAGCAAAGACUAACAAUAUUGACAUAAUCUCAGUUAAAACAGUUCAAACUCUUUGAUUUCUACGGUAUUUUGAAGCUAUACAACCUAUUGAUAACAUAAUGUAGUCAGAAAUACACUAUUAAGGUGGCAAGAGGACCAUAAACAAAUCUGAUGUACUACUCCCUUCAAAUGACUUGUUAUUUCAGUAGUACGGUCUGUACCUCACAGAACUGCUGAAAAUUCAUCUACUUGGACACUUGUUCACCCUGCCAAACAAACAAGCAAAAGAACAAGUCCAAGUUGAGAUAGAAAAGAUAAAUGAACACGAAAGAUACAAGAUUGGUUCGAAUCAAGUAGCACAUUCUUCAGAUUAUAUGUACCACUAUCUUAUAGCUCAGAUUAUAGACAAGUAAACACCAUCCCAAUCAGGCAACCAACAACCAAUCGAACAACUCAACUAUAUAUUAAUUGCUAGUGUGCACUGUAGUCGGCAGUAGAAUGCCCCAGAAUUCGAAGUAGAUGAGACUCACCUCUCUGACGAACCAACACAGCAGCUCGCACUCGGUGAUCCAUUACCCUGCCUACACCAAGGACACCUCCACCGGCUCAGUGAAGGGCUCCCUUGCCACCGGAAAGCAACAGUGCUGGAGACAAAAUCCAAGCGAUGAUAGAGAUGUGAAAAUGGGUGGCAUGUUGAGAUCGAACCAGUAUGGUAAGUGACUAUUUCAUCAGAGACAGAUGGAAAUCGUACCACCCACAACAACUUGUCACCUAACAAUGCAUAUCCAUGGACAAUUUCUGUGGGAAAAUCAAAAUAACACACACCAAAGUACCAAAGUACAAAGUGAUUAAGUGAGAAUCCUAAAUAUUCCAAUGAGAAAGAACAUAAAGGGGACCAGUACCUGAAAUAUUGUGCAAUCAUAUCCAGAGCAGGUGAAGAAACACACAACAUACUAAUGAAUCCAAACCCUUAAAACCAUAUAGAUUUUUCUUUGUGCUAAUAUUCUGCAUCUGCAAGUCCUUCACUACCAAUGGUAAUAAUUACACUUGUCAGCAUAAUAUAUAAGACAAAGAUACUAUUGUUCUCUUAAGAGAUAUAGAUAACCGAAAUAUAUGUAUAUAGGUAACAUACUUUGACGUACAAUAAAUAAGAAAAAGAUAGUAUUGUUCUCUUAAGACAAACCAUUUGAUCCCAUUGCUUCCAAGUCGCAAAUCUUUACUCGUUCUGUAGUUUUCUUGUUAGCAUUUAUGUCGUGAACAAAGCUUCUUUAUCCAACUACCAAAUCUGAAUGUUGCUGCAAAACGGUAUACAGAAAUUAAAUGCAAAGUGCACUUAGUGAAUUUGUUGGAAGAUCCAUACUGAUACAACUUCCUGACAUACAUCAAUAGUACCAUCAGACACUCAUCUCCUGAGCCCUGACAGCUUUAGAAUCGUAAUGCAUUUUUGCUGCAUCAUUACCUUUUCUAUCACCAUCAACAGAUAGGCAGACCUGAAAGGUUUAAUGAUUGUCAAAAUUAUCACCCAAGAAUUAGAUUUCUGUAAAUGGAAGAAUAUCUAAAGAACAUCCGGGUGGGAACAUGGAAGAUAGAGAUCUACAAUGUCGCAUGUUCAAGUUUCUUAAUAACCAUAGUAUUAUGCUAUUCAAUUAAACAAAGGGAAAAGAAUAUGCUCUAGAUAGUAUUAAGCUAGCAGUAAGGUAGACCCAACUGGAUCUAAGCAAUCAUAUUGGAUCAAUAAAUGGGUUUUGAUGGACUAAUGAUGCAUUUUAGGUAAGUAUCCAGGCAUCAUGUGGCCAUAAGAAACUUUAUAUAGAUGUCAAGUGCAUGUCAUGCUUCUCAAGAUAUAAGGGAAUUUUUCAAUCAAUCUAAUGGAGUUGCAGAAUCUUCUUCACUUCGCGGGAUCUGAAGAACACAUAGGAACAUGAAAAAUAGAGUAAUAUAUAUCCUGACAUUUGGAAUCGUACAUGAACCAGGAAAAACAAAUAAACUUUCUAUCGAGUUAUGACACUAAAACAUGCUAGAAAUUCUAUUGAAUCGCGGUGUUGGCGAAUAGUCAAGAAGAAUUUAGGAGUGGUUACUCCUCUGAAUCAAAAGUACUCUAGAAAAACGUCUAUAGGUUGGAAUCCUACAAAUUGCUUUAAAAUUCAUUUAAACCAAAGAAGCACAUAGUGUAGGAAAACAAUCCACACAAUUUUGGGGAAUUCAUCCCUUUGAACUAAAUGGUUUCGAGAAUUUCGUAUGGAUUGGAAUCUUACAAAAAUUCUUUGACCAAAGGGCACGCUGGUUCCAUACCUCUUCCUCAAGCAUACUUUUCGCCGCUGCUUUCACAUAGGUUUUCGACUAUUCAACUUCUAUUCAUACUAUGAACAAAAACAUCGCAUUCCUACAGAAAAUGCAUCAGCAACCAUGAACCAAGCCUUGGGUGCAACCAUAUAAGCAAUAUAUAGAAAUUGGCAAAACACGUCAAAAUGCAAGAAAGUGACUGUAUUUUCACAAAGUUCUUCCUCAAAAUUCUUCCUCUUCUUUAUCAGAUCUGCAGGCGUUGUGUUUAGAAAAAACAUAAAUUGAGAAAUUAGAAUAAAAUCAUCACAGAGAACCGUGUAGUAAAAACUGAAAGAAAGAUGAUGGGAUUGGGGACACUCCUCAAACUUUAUGUUGUAGUUCUAUGACUAUAUCCGAGUCUUUUGCCUUUUUUCAAACUACACCACAAAUUACUUUCUAGAAAACUGAAUCUGGCAAGAAAAUUCAAUUUUAUUUUUAGUUUGGAGGCCCUGCAGUUUGCAGAUUGGACAUUAGAGAGCAGUAUGAGUUGAAACAAAAAUGAAGUACCUGAUCUGUUGUGGCCUUAGUUUCAACAUAUUCUCACUUAACUCUCGCACUCUGGGUAUUGCUCCUCCUACGACACAAAAUGGCUGCAUAAGAACACAUGAGUUCAUGUAGGAUAGAGUUGUGUUCUGGUAUUGGUUAGUUCAACAAAAAAUAAGAUAGUAACAGAGGGCAUCAAACUGAUUUGCAUAGUUAUAGCUACCUCUGCACAAAUAUAAUUCUUGCAUCAUGUGCAUCGCAGUUACCUUGAACAACAACAACAAUAAUAAUUCUCCCUGUCAUCAAAC